UACGUAGGGCGCAAGCGUUAUCCGGAAUUAUUGGGCGUAAAGAGCUCGUAGGCGGUUUGUCGCGUCUGCCGUGAAAGUCCGGGGCUCAACUCCGGAUCUGCGGUGGGUACGGGCAUACUAGAGUGAUGUAGGGGAGACUGGAAUUCCUGGUGUAGCGGUGAAAUGCGCAGAUAUCAGGAGGAACACCGAUGGCGAAGGCAGGUCUCUGGGCAUUAACUGACGCUGAGGAGCGAAAGCAUGGGGAGCGAACAGG
RNAcentral lists this ribosomal RNA (253 nucleotides) under uncultured bacterium. RNAcentral's name for it is "partial 16S ribosomal RNA". It matches the Rfam family "Bacterial small subunit ribosomal RNA", at positions 524 to 776 of the family's 1533-position model. The record is from RNAcentral.